GAGCGCGUUCAUGCGUGAUGGCGUGCCUUUUGUAGAAUGAACCGGCGAGUGACGAUGGCGUGCGAGGUUAAGCCGAAGAGGCGGAGCCGCAGCGAAAGCGAGUCUGAAUAGGGCGAAAAGUACGUCGUCGUCGACCCGAAACCAGGUGAUCUACCCAUGUCCAGGGUGAAGGCCGGGUAACACCGGCUGGAGGCCCGAACCCACGCACGUUGAAAAGUGCUGGGAUGAGGUGUGGGUAGGGGUGAAAUGCCAAUCGAACUUGGAGAUAGCUGGUUCUCCCCGAAAUAGCUUUAGGGCUAGCCUCGGGAUGGAGAGUGUUGGAGGUAGAGCACUGAUUGGGCUAGGGGCCCUCAUCGGGUUACCGAACCCAGUCAAACUCCGAAUGCCAACGACUUAUGCCCGGGAGUCAGACUGCGAGUGAUAAGAUCCGUGGUCGAGAGG
Molecule: ribosomal RNA, 441 nt
Filed under: Geobacillus stearothermophilus
Lineage: Bacteria; Bacillati; Bacillota; Bacilli; Caryophanales; Anoxybacillaceae
Description: bacterial LSU rRNA
Rfam family: Bacterial large subunit ribosomal RNA
Source: RNAcentral